This 273-nucleotide ribosomal RNA is filed under the name uncultured bacterium. RNAcentral describes it as "partial 16S ribosomal RNA". It matches the Rfam family "Bacterial small subunit ribosomal RNA", at positions 28 to 297 of the family's 1533-position model. The record is from RNAcentral.
GAUGAACGCUAGCGGCAGGCUUAAUACAUGCAAGUCGAGGGGCAACAGUGGUAGCAAUACCAGCUGGCGACCGGCAAACGGGUGCGCAACACGUACAGAACCUUCCUUUAAGCGGGGAUAGCCCAUAGAAAUGUGGAUUAAUACCCCAUGGUAAUGUUGAGUGGCAUCACUUGAUAUUUAAAGAUUUAUCAACUUAAAGAUGGCUGUGCGUCUGUANAGGUAGUUGGUGUAGGUAACGGCUCACCAAGCCAACGAUCAGUAACUGGUGUGAGA